GAUCACAGCCACGUCAACAGUGGGCGUCAGGCUUGUAAGAGACAUGAAUUAUAUGUGAGCUUUAGUGACCUAGGCUGGAAGGACUGGGUCCUGGCUCCUACGGGUUACUCUGCUUUCUACUGUGAUGGAGAAUGCCUAUACCCUCUGGGUUCCUGCAUGAACGCCACCAACCACGCUAUGAUCCAACUAGUGGUUCACCUUUUGAAGCCAGAUGAGGUUCCCAAAGCGUGCUGCGCACCCACCAAGCUCAGUCCCAUCUCUGUACUAUUCUACGACGACAACAACAAUGUGAUCCUAAAGAAGCAUCGCAACAUGGUGGUCAAGACCUGUGGAUGUCUGUGACAUCUGUGGUGGCCCAUCUAUUCUACAUCAUUUUAAUAAACCUCACUACCAUUGUUCCAAAAGAUACAAACAGGGUAAUAUACC
Salmo salar (Atlantic salmon) is the source of this 426-nucleotide non-coding RNA. Lineage: Eukaryota; Metazoa; Chordata; Actinopteri; Salmoniformes; Salmonidae. The record is from RefSeq and is a predicted model, not a curated record.